This is a long non-coding RNA of Lotus japonicus, 1014 nucleotides long. RefSeq lists it as uncharacterized. The transcript is spliced from 3 exons. The record is from RefSeq and is a predicted model, not a curated record. Lineage: Eukaryota; Viridiplantae; Streptophyta; Magnoliopsida; Fabales; Fabaceae.
CAUCAUUUUCUUCCUAUCACUCCAAAACCAAACAUUUAUGAGAGAGGAAAAAAAACCAAAAGAAAAACGAAAUUAGGGUUCAAGAAUGGGUGAAGUGCACCAACAAGAAGAACCCACCAUUUUAAUUAGGGUUCUGAAUCCCAAGUGUCAAAUGUGUUGUGAUCAGACCCAACAGCUGCAGCGCCUGCAAACGACGCCGCCGCCGGCGAGGAGGUCUAGUUUGCCCCAUCUGCCUCCGAGCCUCAGGAGAACUGUCUCUGAUCUCACUCCUUCGCUGGUUAAAGCUUGCCAUCGUUCUCUGAACUCUUAAGAUACCACCCCUGAUUCAGCGAAGUUGAGAAAGAUGGGGGAUCUAAUGAGGGAGAUGAUCAAAGGUGUGAUGAAGUUAUGAAAAGUGAAGAAGAAGGAGAUGAAGAGUGUGUUGUUGCUGAAAUUGGCAAAGUCCCAUCUCAGGAUGAAUUGCAUAGAAAUUCUGAAGAAUAUGUAAGCGUGGAAUGGGCAUGGAGAUUUGGGUUGUUUUAAAAGUGGGAAGAUGAAGAUUUUUGUUUAGUUUUUGAGGUGGAGAUGUUUCUGAAAUUGAUUUCUUUUGGGUAAGAUGAUGAGAGGAAGAAGAUGAUGGAGAGAUUGAAGAUUUUUUUAUUUAGGGAUUUUGGCUAGGUACUAAAUUGAAGUUUUUCAAGGUUUCCAAAUAAAUUCCCCAAUUUUAAAUCCACGUGGAAAUUUCACAUGGGAAAUAAUGAGCCAAAUCACCCUUCCCGUUAACUCUAAGACCCAAGAUUUUAAAAUUUAAUAGAUAAAUAAUUUCCAACUCACGCAUAGGAUUAUGUGUAAGCGUGAGAGGAACUUGACUCGUGUUUAAUGUUUGGAUUAAUAUUAUGAAGAAGAAAGUUCAGGAAAAUGACUAAGAAUAGUAAUAUAGUCGUUAUAGGCUAUAGCACGAGUUUCAUUCCCUUCCGCCUUAGGGCGAAAACGUUAGUAAAUGACUAAAUUGCACUUAAAGACACGAUGGAAACU